RNAcentral lists this ribosomal RNA (492 nucleotides) under uncultured bacterium. RNAcentral describes it as "partial 16S ribosomal RNA". It matches the Rfam family "Bacterial small subunit ribosomal RNA", at positions 28 to 507 of the family's 1533-position model. The record is from RNAcentral.
GAUGAACGCUAGCUACAGGCUUAACACAUGCAAGUCGAGGGGAAACGACAUCGAAAGCUUGCUUUUGAUGGGCGUCGACCGGCGCACGGGUGAGUAACGCGUAUCCAACCUGCCCACCACUUGGGGAUAACCUUGCGAAAGUAAGACUAAUACCCAAUGACGUCUCUAGAAGACAUCUGAAAGAGAUUAAAGAUUUAUCGGUGAUGGAUGGGGAUGCGUCUGAUUAGCUUGUUGGCGGGGUAACGGCCCACCAAGGCGACGAUCAGUAGGGGUUCCGAGAGGAAGGUCCCCCACAUUGGAACUGAGACACGGUCCAAACUCCUACGGGAGGCAGCAGUGAGGAAUAUUGGUCAAUGGACGAGAGUCUGAACCAGCCAAGUAGCGUGCAGGAUGACGGCCCUAUGGGUUGUAAACUGCUUUUAUAAGGGAAUAAAGUGAGUCUCGUGAGACUUUUUGCAUGUACCUUAUGAAUAAGGACCGGCUAAUUCCGUG